UCAGAUGAAUUCAACCACUAUCAAAAAGGCCAGCAUGUCAAAAACCAAAAGAAGCAAAAUAAGAGGUUGCAAACUUUCCAUCUUCAAACUUUGAAGAUAAAGCAAUUUUUCAGAUAAUGCCUAACCUUUAUCUGAAACAUAUUAGAUAACCAGAUGAGGUCUCGAAAUAGCACUUAAUAAGGUAAACAUCCACAUUACAUCUAGCAGCAACCACGAGUUCGCAAAUCAACAAACAUCAGGCAAAACUUAAAAACGACGGUUCCAGGAACAUAGGUCUAUAUCCUUGAAGAUAACUGGCUAUAGCAAAACGACUCAACGCCUCAGAAUCAGGCCUUGGCAGCAGCCUGGGCAGCGGCAUCCCGCUUCCUCUGCUCCUCAAUGAUGGUGAGCUUGAUACCCUUGCCCUUGGGGAGGCUCACCCACGGCUUGGUGCCCUUGCCGAUGGUGAACACGUUGCCCAGACGGGUGGCAAACUGGUGGCCCUGCGCAUCCUCAACGUGGAUGGUCUCGAAGGUUCCCUUAUGCUUCUCCCUGUUCUUGAUCACACCAACACGCCCAGUGUUGCGCCCACCAGUAACCAUGACCACAUUGCCGACGUCAAACUUGAUGAAGUCAACAAUCUUGUUGGUCUCCAGGUCGAGCUUGAUGGUGUCAUUGGCCUUGAUGAGUGGGUCUGGGUAGCGGAUGGUGCGGCCAUCAUAGGUGUUCAGGUAGGGGAUGCCCUUCUGGCCGAACUGGACAGACCUGACCUUGCAGAGCUUGAACUGCACAUGAAGGAAAGAAAGUCAGCAGAUGGAUAGAUAAUGGUAUAUACUACAUUUAUAUUUAUGGAUAAAACAGAUGACAAACUAGAACCUAUCCAGGCAGGAUCUGAAAACAAAAUGGCAUCCUAAGAAAAUGAAGACUGGAUUGCAACAGUUAAGCAUAGUGAACAAAUAGAACAGCAAAUAGACAACAGGGUGGUACAAUGCUAGGCAAGUAAGAUAGCAACAGCAAGGUCUUCACUGGAAGAGGAUAUCAAUGCAUACCAUAUACAAGUAGGUUUUAUAAGUAGAUUAAAGUUUCUAUAAGUAAAUUAUAAUCAGUUCCAGGAAUCAAAAGGCAUCAGGAAGAACAGCAUGAUAAUACAGAAAAGGGAUAGACCUAACCUUAGCAUCCUCAUCCCUGACAGAGUGAAGGCGGAAGCGACCCUUGGUGUCAUAAAGAAGCCUGUAGUUCUCACCAGUCUUGGGAAUGGAAAUGAUGUCUGGUAGACACCAAGUAAGGUAUCAGCAAUCAAAUAAUGUCAACAAUCUAUGCAGAAUGUCAAUUCACAUAAGAACAAAACACAUGUUACUAGAAGAUUAGAAGAUUAGAGCAUACCCAUGAACCCAGCAGGGUAGGUCUUGUCAGUGCGGACCUUUCCAUCAACCAUGAUAUGACGCUGCAUAAGGAUAGAUUGCACUUCACGGUAGGUGAGAGCAUAUUUCAGUCUGUUCCUCAGGAUGAGGAUCAGAGGCAGGCACUCCCUGGCCUUGUGAGGACCAGAUGAUGGCUUGGG
RNAcentral lists this long non-coding RNA (1540 nucleotides) under Triticum aestivum (bread wheat). RNAcentral's name for it is "long non-coding RNA (TAES_LNC015333)". The record is from RNAcentral. Lineage: Eukaryota; Viridiplantae; Streptophyta; Magnoliopsida; Poales; Poaceae.